GCCCUGGUGGUAUAAUGGUUAAGCACUCAGCUGCUAACUGAAAUGUUGGUGGUUUGAACCUACCCAGUGGCU
Molecule: transfer RNA, 72 nt
Filed under: Loxodonta africana (African savanna elephant)
Lineage: Eukaryota; Metazoa; Chordata; Mammalia; Proboscidea; Elephantidae
Rfam family: tRNA
About the family: Transfer RNA (tRNA) molecules are approximately 80 nucleotides in length. Their secondary structure includes four short double-helical elements and three loops (D, anti-codon, and T loops). Further hydrogen bonds mediate the characteristic L-shaped molecular structure. tRNAs have two regions of fundamental functional importance: the anti-codon, which is responsible for specific mRNA codon recognition, and the 3' end, to which the tRNAs corresponding amino acid is attached (by aminoacyl-tRNA synthetases). tRNAs cope with the degeneracy of the genetic code in two manners: having more than one tRNA (with a specific anti-codon) for a particular amino acid; and 'wobble' base-pairing, i.e. permitting non-standard base-pairing at the 3rd anti-codon position.
Source: Rfam by way of RNAcentral